This 253-nucleotide ribosomal RNA is filed under the name uncultured bacterium. Its description in RNAcentral is "partial 16S ribosomal RNA". It matches the Rfam family "Bacterial small subunit ribosomal RNA", at positions 524 to 776 of the family's 1533-position model. The record is from RNAcentral.
UACGUAGGGGGCUAGCGUUGUCCGGAAUCAUUGGGCGUAAAGCGCGCGUAGGCGGCCCGAUAAGUCCGCUGUGAAAGUCAACGGCUCAACUGUUGGAUGCCGGUGGAUACUGUCGGGCUAGAGUACGGAAGAGGCAAGUGGAAUUCCUGGUGUAGCGGUGGAAUGCGCAGAUAUCAGGAGGAACACCUAUAGCGAAGGCAGCUUGCUGGGACGUUACUGACGCUAAGGCGCGAAAGCGUGGGGAGCGAACAGG